UACAGAGGGGGCAAGCGUUGUUCGGAAUUACUGGGCGUAAAGGGCGCGUAGGCGGCCUGUUAAGUCGAACGUGAAAUCUCCGAGCUUAACUCGGAAAUGGCAUUGGAUACUAUUCGGCUAGAGGGUUUGAGGGGGGACUGGAAUACUUGGUGUAGCAGUGAAAUGCGUAGAUAUCAAGUGGAACACCAGUGGCGAAGGCGAGUCCCUGGAAAACUCCUGACACUGAGGCACGAAAGCUAGGGGAGCAAACAGG
RNAcentral lists this ribosomal RNA (253 nucleotides) under uncultured bacterium. RNAcentral describes it as "partial 16S ribosomal RNA". It matches the Rfam family "Bacterial small subunit ribosomal RNA", at positions 524 to 776 of the family's 1533-position model. The record is from RNAcentral.